This 119-nucleotide ribosomal RNA is filed under the name Diaphorina citri (Asian citrus psyllid). Lineage: Eukaryota; Metazoa; Arthropoda; Insecta; Hemiptera; Psyllidae. The record is from RNAcentral.
GACAAUAGGAAACUUUGGUUGAUAAUGCACCAGUUCCCCACGGAUCACUGAAGUUAAGCAACGUUGCGCGUGGUUAGUACCUGGAUGGUGACCAUCUGGGGAAUCGCGUGCUGGUUCCC